Molecule: ribosomal RNA, 1800 nt
Filed under: Escherichia coli 2-052-05_S3_C2
Lineage: Bacteria; Pseudomonadati; Pseudomonadota; Gammaproteobacteria; Enterobacterales; Enterobacteriaceae
Description: bacterial LSU rRNA
Rfam family: Bacterial large subunit ribosomal RNA
Source: RNAcentral
UGGUCGAGUCGGCCUGCGCGGAAGAUGUAACGGGGCUAAACCAUGCACCGAAGCUGCGGCAGCGACGCUGAUGCGUUGUUGGGUAGGGGAGCGUUCUGUAAGCCUGCGAAGGUGUGCUGUGAGGCAUGCUGGAGGUAUCAGAAGUGCGAAUGCUGACAUAAGUAACGAUAAAGCGGGUGAAAAGCCCGCUCGCCGGAAGACCAAGGGUUCCUGUCCAACGUUAAUCGGGGCAGGGUGAGUCGACCCCUAAGGCGAGGCCGAAAGGCGUAGUCGAUGGGAAACAGGUUAAUAUUCCUGUACUUGGUGUUACUGCGAAGGGGGGACGGAGAAGGCUAUGUUGGCCGGGCGACGGUUGUCCCGGUUUAAGCGUGUAGGCUGGUUUUCCAGGCAAAUCCGGAAAAUCAAGGCUGAGGCGUGAUGACGAGGCACUACGGUGCUGAAGCAACAAAUGCCCUGCUUCCAGGAAAAGCCUCUAAGCAUCAGGUAACAUCAAAUCGUACCCCAAACCGACACAGGUGGUCAGGUAGAGAAUACCAAGGCGCUUGAGAGAACUCGGGUGAAGGAACUAGGCAAAAUGGUGCCGUAACUUCGGGAGAAGGCACGCUGAUAUGUAGGUGAAGUCCCUCGCGGAUGGAGCUGAAAUCAGUCGAAGAUACCAGCUGGCUGCAACUGUUUAUUAAAAACACAGCACUGUGCAAACACGAAAGUGGACGUAUACGGUGUGACGCCUGCCCGGUGCCGGAAGGUUAAUUGAUGGGGUCAGCGCAAGCGAAGCUCUUGAUCGAAGCCCCGGUAAACGGCGGCCGUAACUAUAACGGUCCUAAGGUAGCGAAAUUCCUUGUCGGGUAAGUUCCGACCUGCACGAAUGGCGUAAUGAUGGCCAGGCUGUCUCCACCCGAGACUCAGUGAAAUUGAACUCGCUGUGAAGAUGCAGUGUACCCGCGGCAAGACGGAAAGACCCCGUGAACCUUUACUAUAGCUUGACACUGAACAUUGAGCCUUGAUGUGUAGGAUAGGUGGGAGGCUUAGAAGUGUGGACGCCAGUCUGCAUGGAGCCGACCUUGAAAUACCACCCUUUAAUGUUUGAUGUUCUAACGUUGACCCGUAAUCCGGGUUGCGGACAGUGUCUGGUGGGUAGUUUGACUGGGGCGGUCUCCUCCUAAAGAGUAACGGAGGAGCACGAAGGUUGGCUAAUCCUGGUCGGACAUCAGGAGGUUAGUGCAAUGGCAUAAGCCAGCUUGACUGCGAGCGUGACGGCGCGAGCAGGUGCGAAAGCAGGUCAUAGUGAUCCGGUGGUUCUGAAUGGAAGGGCCAUCGCUCAACGGAUAAAAGGUACUCCGGGGAUAACAGGCUGAUACCGCCCAAGAGUUCAUAUCGACGGCGGUGUUUGGCACCUCGAUGUCGGCUCAUCACAUCCUGGGGCUGAAGUAGGUCCCAAGGGUAUGGCUGUUCGCCAUUUAAAGUGGUACGCGAGCUGGGUUUAGAACGUCGUGAGACAGUUCGGUCCCUAUCUGCCGUGGGCGCUGGAGAACUGAGGGGGGCUGCUCCUAGUACGAGAGGACCGGAGUGGACGCAUCACUGGUGUUCGGGUUGUCAUGCCAAUGGCACUGCCCGGUAGCUAAAUGCGGAAGAGAUAAGUGCUGAAAGCAUCUAAGCACGAAACUUGCCCCGAGAUGAGUUCUCCCUGACUCCUUGAGAGUCCUGAAGGAACGUUGAAGACGACGACGUUGAUAGGCCAGGUGUGUAAGCGCAGCGAUGCGUUGAGCUAACCGGUACUAAUGAACCGUGAGGCUUAACCUU